Corapipo altera (White-ruffed manakin) is the source of this 458-nucleotide long non-coding RNA. RefSeq lists it as uncharacterized. NCBI's taxonomy places the organism in Eukaryota, Metazoa, Chordata, Aves, Passeriformes, Pipridae. The record is from RefSeq and is a predicted model, not a curated record. The transcript is spliced from 2 exons.
GCAGUUCCCGAGGCCGGGCCUGCAGCAGACCCCGCAGCAGCAGCAGACGGCGGCGCUGGUCCGGCAGCUCCAGAAGCAGCUCUCCAGUAACCAGCCACAGCAAGGUUACCCCACUUCUGACCGUGGCUGGGGGGGGCCCAGGGGACCUUUGCACUGAGGAACAGGACUCUGGAAAUUCAAUGUACUGCUCAUGAUCAGACAGCAGGCUUGAGAUCUCUUCUUACUUCCAUCAUUAUUUUUUGUGCUGCAGUUGAUGUGAAUAUGUAUCAAGGUGGGUUUGGGUUUGGGGUUAUUUUUGCAUUUAACUAGAUUUCAAUGUAUGGACUUGUGGACCUAUAUGAAGAAUGUUAUCACAGAUUUUAUGAGUUUGGUGCUUUUUAGGUCCUGUUACUUUUAAGGAGGACAAAGAAUGCUGGAUUUAUUUAUUUAUUUAUUUGUGGGGGAAACCAUUUUUUUUU